AAGUGGAUUAGUGGCGCACGGGUGAGUAACGCAUAGGUCAUGUGCCUCUUAGUUUGGGAUAGCCAUUGGAAACGAUGAUUAAUACCAGAUACUCCCUACGGGGGAAAGAUUUAUCGCUAAGAGAUCAGCCUAUGUCCUAUCAGCUUGUUGGUAAGGUAAUGGCUUACCAAGGCUAUGACGGUGUAUCCGGCCUGAGAGGGUGAACGGACACACUGGAACUGAGACACGGUCCAGACUCCUACGGGAGGCAGCAGUAGGGAAUAUUGCUCAAUGGGGGAAACCCUGAAGCAGCAACGCCGCGUGGAGGAUGAAGGUUUUAGGAUUAUAAACUCCUUUUGUUAGAGAAGAUAAUGACGGUAUCUAACGAAUAAGCACCGGCUAACUCCGCGCCAGCAGCCGCGGUAAUACGGAGGGUGCAAGCGUUACUCGGAAUCACUGGGCGUAAAGAGCGCGUAGGCGGGAUAGUCAGUCAGGUGUGAAAUCCUAUGGCUUAACCGUAGAACUGCAUUUGAAACUACUAUUCUAGAGUGUGGGAGAGGUAGGUGGAAUUCUUGGUGUAGGGGUAAAAUCCGUAGAGAUCAAGAGGAAUACUCAUUGCGAAGGCGACCUGCUGGAACAUUACUGACGCUGAUUGCGCGAAAGCGUGGGGAGCAAACAGGAUUAGAUACCCUGGUAGUCCACGCCCUAAACGAUGGAUGCUAGUUGUUGGAGGGCUUAGUCUCUCCAGUAAUGCAGCUAACGCAUUAAGCAUCCCGCCUGGGGAGUACGGUCGCAAGAUUAAAACUCAAAGGAAUAGACGGGGACCCGCACAAGCGGUGGAGCAUGUGGUUUAAUUCGAAGAUACACGAAGAACCUUACCUAGGCUUGACAUUGAGAGAAUCCGCUAGAAAUAGUGGAGUGUCUGGCUUGCCAGACCUUGAAAACAGGUGCUGCACGGCUGUCGUCAGCUCGUGUCGUGAGAUGUUGGGUUAAGUCCCGCAACGAGCGCAACCCCCUUUCUUAGUUGCUAACAGGUUAUGCUGAGAACUCUAAGGAUACUGCCUCCGUAAGGAGGAGGAAGGUGGGGACGACGUCAAGUCAUCAUGGCCCUUACGCCUAGGGCUACACACGUGCUACAAUGGGGUGCACAAAGAGAAGCAAUACUGCGAAGUGGAGCUAAUCUUCAAAACACCUCUCAGUUCGGAUUGUAGGCUGCAACUCGCCUGCAUGAAGCUGGAAUCGCUAGUAAUCGCGUAUCAGCAAUGACGCGGUGAAUACGUUCCCGGGCCUUGUACACACCGCCCGUCAAGCCAUGGAAGCUGGGGGUACCUAAAGUAUGUAACCGCAAGGAGCGUCCUAGGGUAAAACCGGUAACUGGGGCUAA
This 1363-nucleotide ribosomal RNA is filed under the name Helicobacter sp. GA-3. RNAcentral's name for it is "bacterial SSU rRNA". It matches the Rfam family "Bacterial small subunit ribosomal RNA". Lineage: Bacteria; Pseudomonadati; Campylobacterota; Epsilonproteobacteria; Campylobacterales; Helicobacteraceae. The record is from RNAcentral.